GCAGUAAGAUUUGUGGAGUUGACACGUGAAGUACUGCUUCAGGGAAAGGUUAAAUUUUUGAGAAGGUGGUUGUCUGAAGAGUUCAUGCAAAAUAAUUUGGAGUGCUGGAGGUAAUUGGAGAGACCCCUAAUAUCAUUAAAGGUCUGAAAGAUGCCAGGUGCUGCCUCUGUGAAGACACCGGUACUCCAUUCACAUAUCUUACCAGAAAAGUAACUUUCACUUGUGACUCUCUACAUUGCUGCUGCUGCUGCUAAGUCGCUUCAGUCGUGUCCAACGCUGUGCGACCCCACAGACGGCAGCCCACCAGGCUCCCCCAUCCCUGGGAUUCUCCAGGCAAGAACACUGGAGUGGGUUGCCGUUUCCUUCUCCAAUGCAUGAAAGUGAAAAGUGAAAGUGAAGUCGCUCAGUCGUGUCUGACUCUUCGCGACCCCAUGGACUGCAGCCCACCAGGCUCCUCCGUCCAUGGGGUUUUCCCGGCAGGAGUACUGGAGUGGGGUGCCAUUGCCUUCUCCGGACUCUCUACAUUAGGUGUUGACAAACUGUGAUUCAUAGUCCACUCCCUGCCCAUCACCUGGUUCUGUGAAUACAGUUUUACUGAAACAUAGCCAUGCCUAUGUGGCUUAUAUAAUUUCUGUAGCUACCCGCUGAGUUGUGACAGAGACCAUAUGUCUCAUAAAGCAUAUGUCCCAUAUUUACUGUCUAGCCUUUUACAGAAAAAGUUUGUUAACCCUCAUUCAACAUAUUAAAAAGAAACAGAAGUACCUUUGAUGCUAUUUAAAUUUUGUUGUAUCCUGGAAUGAAACUCCAAACUUGAAGGAGACUUACUGUAUUUCUUAGUUAGAAGUGAGAAUGACUAUUCUUUGUAUUCCGCAUUGCUAAUUCUUUACGUUUCAUGUUUUGUGUUGGAUUAACCGUACUUUCAGAUAUGGAUACUUGUUUGGCAAAUGUUAUGUUU
Long non-coding RNA from Bos taurus (domestic cattle), 955 nucleotides. The record is from Ensembl. Lineage: Eukaryota; Metazoa; Chordata; Mammalia; Artiodactyla; Bovidae.